CCUACGGGAGGCAGCAGUGAGGAAUAUUGGUCAAUGGCCGGAAGGCUGAACCAGCCAUGCCGCGUGAAGGUCAGUGCCCUAUGGGCGUUAAACUUCUUUUGUGCGGGAGCAAUAAUGGUCACGUGUGGCCAGACGAGAGUACUGUACGAAUAAGCAUCGGCUAACUGCGUGCCAGCAGCCGCGGUAAUAAGGGGGAUGCAAGCGUUAUCCGGAUUUAUUGGGUUUAAAGGGUGCGUAGGCUGUGAGGUAAGUCAGCGGUGAAAUGCCCCCGGUCAACGGGGUGAAGUGCCAUUGAUACUGGCUUGCUGGAAUGCGGGUGCAGUAGGCGGAAUGUGUGGUGUAGCGGUGAAAUGCAUAGAUAUCACACAGAACACCGAUUGCGAAGGCAGCUCACGAAUCCGCGAUUGACGCUGAUGCACGAAAGCGUGGGUAUCAAACAGGAUUAGAUACCCUUGUAGUC
This 460-nucleotide ribosomal RNA is filed under the name uncultured bacterium. Its description in RNAcentral is "partial 16S ribosomal RNA". It matches the Rfam family "Bacterial small subunit ribosomal RNA", at positions 338 to 795 of the family's 1533-position model. The record is from RNAcentral.